RNAcentral lists this unclassified non-coding RNA (3696 nucleotides) under Leishmania donovani. RNAcentral's name for it is "gene:LdHU3.06.0110(CDS-product:ATP-binding_casset te_protein_subfamily_G_member_1_putative)". The record is from RNAcentral. Lineage: Eukaryota; Euglenozoa; Kinetoplastea; Trypanosomatida; Trypanosomatidae.
CAUGUAACCGACGAUCCUACAGUGCUGCGGACAGCGCGUCUCCUUAUACCUCCUACUGGCGGCCUGCUCUGCCCUACUGUGCCCUCCUUCCUUCCUGCCCAGAUGCCCCGCUUACACAACGAACAGGUACACAACGGAAUCACCACCGAUGCGGAGGACCAACAGAAUAUCAGCAGCAACGGUCACCAGACCAUCUCCUCUGGCGAGGACAACCCCCAGCUGCACGGCUCCAUCGUUGAAUUCGACUCCAGCACGCCACCUGCCAUCGGCGUGCCGAACAGCUACUCGCUGCCGCUGUCGUGGCACAGGCUUAGCUACAGCGUUGGCAAGAAGCGCAUCCUGUGCGGGCUGACGGGGACGGCGCUGCCCGGGCGAUGCCUCGCAAUCCUCGGGUCGUCCGGUGCCGGCAAGACAACGUUCCUGAACGCGAUCUGCGACCGACUAGCGUCUGGCGGUGAGCUGAAGCUGAGCGGGAGGCGCCAGCUGGGCGACUGUGAGUUCGAGCGGCACUUUCGCAAGGCGAUGGGGUUCGUGGCGCAGGACGACAUCAUCUCGCCGCUGUCGACGCCGUACGACGCGCUGUGGUUCUCGCUGCGCACGCGGCGCGGGACGGGCCGUGCGGAGACGGAGGAGCGUGUGCAGGAGAUGCUGAGUGUCCUGCGGUUGCGGCACUGCCGCGGCACGAAGGUCGGCAUUCCCGGCCUGGAGGCUGGGCUGUCUGGUGGGGAGCGCAAGCGGUGCAGCAUCGGGAUCGAGCUGAUCUGCGACCCGAAGAUCCUGCUGCUUGAUGAGCCGACGUCUGGGCUGGACUCCGUGACGUCCGCGAAGGUGGUGCACCUGCUGCGCCAGCUGUCGCGGACCGGCCGCACUGUGAUCUACACGAUCCAUCAGCCGACUGCGGAGGUGCUGUCGUACUUCGACGACGUGAUGCUGAUGACGCAGGGCCGCAUUGCGUACCACGGGACGAUGGCUGCGUCGCUGGACUACUUCGAGUCCAUCGGGUUCCCGUGCCCGAGCAAGUACACGCCGACGGACUACUACAUGGUGCUGCUGCAGGACAGCGUGACGAGCAAGGUCCUGAUCAAGCGCUGGCGCAAGUACCUGAAGAACGGACCUCGCACGCCGCACACUGCCGCUGUGCGUUUCGCGAGGAGCCGCAGUGAGUCGUCUGCUGCACGGUUCUUGGAUGCAUACAUUGUGAAGUUCGGCAGCUCGCCGGCUGUGCAGUUGUACGAGCUGACGCGGCGCAGGAUGAUGGAGAUCUCGCGCGACUCCCUGUAUCUGUUCUCGUACACGGCGCAGGCGAUCUUCUUCGCCGUUGUUGUGGGCCUGAUCUUCUUGAAUGUGCGGGCCAACGUAGAGGGAAUUCAGGAUCGCCAAGGCGUGCUGUUCUUGACCGUGAUGAACCGUGCGAUGAGCUCCACGUUCAUCAUGAUCAAUACGUUCAACAAUGUGCGUGCCGUGUUCAUGCGUGAGCAGCAAGCUGGUGCGUACUCGCCGCUGAUGUUCUUCCUUGGCCGUAGUUUCGCCGAGUUUCCCGUGCAGAUUUUUGCAGUGCUGGUAGAGAGCUGCAUCCUCUACUGGAUGGUGGGGCUGCAUCGUCAUCCCGGCUCCUUCUUCUACUACUUUGGUGUGAUUGCGUUGCUGUCGCAGGUGGCAACUGGUCUGGGCUUCGCGAUCUCCACCUCGUGCCCGUCGCUUGUGGUGAGCUCUGCCAUGGCGCGUGAUCUUGAUUCGCUGCUCUAGGCGGUGGUCUGUUCGCAAGCACGGACCGUCUGCGCCCGUACUGGUACUGGUUGGAGAAGCCGUCCUUCAUGCGCCACGCGUACAUCCUCGUGCUGCGCAAUGAGCUGCACAAUGUUCCCCACAUUGCGUGCGACUACUACCGCUGGGGCGACGGGUACUGCAUCAACCAGCCGCGUGACGGACGCACGGUGAUGCGUCUGCUUGGGUUUGAUGGUGAUCCGCAGUCGGCGAGCGUGUACAUGUGGGUUUCGCUUGUGAUUAUGUUCUUCCUGCUCCGCACUAUCAGCAUGAUCGCGCUGGUGGUGGCUGCUCGCGAGAAGACGUAGCGACACAGACGACUGUGCUGCGUAACGGGUGUUGUGGAUAAUGCAUCACGCGAUUUUGUGGCGCCUGGCCGUGGUGAAAGCUGGCAGAGGGAGAAUGAGGACACCGCUUCGCCUUCCUGUGGGCCUAGUGGCGGCUAAGGUUAGAAGGUGGAGCGGUGUAGCGGGGAUAGAUUCAUCGAUGUGCAAUGACGGUGGAUGUGGUGUAGGUCAAUUUCAGGGCGUUAGACCUCCUGUCCGCGGACUGCAGCCUAUGAGUAUGCGCGCCCUCAUCGCUCUUGCUGAGUUGUUUCGUGCUCUGCCGAGGGUGGGGCGGACGCCUUUAGUGCUUUCUGUCUUUUUGCGGUGCCGCACCCCUCGUGACCAUUCUUCUUGCUGUCAGGUUGUGACGCUGCGGCGGAUGUGUUGCCGCCCUCUUCUUUCAACUGGUGACGCGCGCGAACACUGGAUGAGGCAAGGUGCGCUGGAGCCCGCCUAUCAGUGCACAUCGUGCUGCGUGUAGGAGAUGUGCUUUAUUUCUCCAACGGCCGCUGCUUGUGCUUCUCUUUCCUGCUGCAUCGUUUUUUUUUUUGUUUCUCGCUCGCUCUCUCACUGUCUUGACGAGAGAUCUAGAAGGGGAAAGCUCUCACAUGACCACGUCACGCGCUUAUAGCGGUUUUUUUUUGUCUUUUCAUGGGCAGGCGGGGCGGGGAUGCACUCACGUGCAUCGGUGUGUGCGUUGGUAUGUGGGUGCCCGUGAUGUUUUGUCUCUCCUGCCACUCUAGCCUCCUCCCUCUUUCUUGCUAUUGCUCCGCUAUAUCUAUAUAUUUAUGUAUUUGCAUUUCGCCAUGUGCCCGUGAUGCUGGUGUCGUUCGUGCUUGCGUGGAGGGCUUUCACCUCUCUUCUCCCUGGUGCCACGUUGUGGGCCGGCAGGGACUAAUUUUCGUCUCUCUUCUAUUGUCUGCUGCUACCUUGCAACGCCUCUGCUCUCUCUGUUGGUGAGUCGCGUCUGAGUGCGGGUGCUGUGCCGGACGCUUUCUGUGCUCCUCUUGCUUGUUUUGCCAGGGUGACGACAUACCACUUGUACCGUCCCCAGCGCACAUCCACAAGCCUUCCCUCCCUCUCCUCCCCCCUCGUAGCCACCUAGUCGUCGUGUCGCGUGCAGCACGGCUGUGCCCCCGCUCGCGGUGUGUGCUGGCUGGCUGAAGUGUUCUUUCACGGAGUGCAAGAGAGCGUGUUUUGCAUGAGCUGCGUGAUGGUUGAAACUGCUGCUUCGCUGUGUUCGGUGCGACACGUCUUGGCGCGCUUCCUCCUCUUCGCGCUACGGUUCCCUCUUAUGUCCAGGUUACCGCGGUGAGUGGAAGAUGGCUGCGCAUCUCUAUCUGGCCAGGGUGUCAGCGUGGGAGGGGGUGGGAGAGCUCACUUCGACACCCGCCGCUGCAGCCGCUCUCCGGCAAAGACCACUCGACUCGUGCUACUCCUGCGCGUCUCCUUCUUUUGACCUCUGGCGACGCUCCACCAUCACAUAUACCAGGUCACGCGCCAGCUUACCCAGCCCACGCUCUUUCUUUCAGUGUGCUCUACUUGUGGUUUCUCUCAUGGGUCGGUUCCGUACCGUGGUGCAUGCACUCCGCCAUACGCACCACAG